Long non-coding RNA from Lycium ferocissimum, 700 nucleotides. RefSeq lists it as uncharacterized. The transcript has 5 exons. NCBI's taxonomy places the organism in Eukaryota, Viridiplantae, Streptophyta, Magnoliopsida, Solanales, Solanaceae. The record is from RefSeq and is a predicted model, not a curated record.
AGGCAAGAGGUGUCAUUAUGUGUUGGAGCUUGGAACCUAUCUAAUUCCACAUUCUAACAAGGCAAGUGGUUAUUAUACGUUAAUGAAUAAGAUGGACCCAUCACUCGGCCCAUGAUUUAUGCAGCACCGAGGUGAUAGUAUAUGUUUUGUUGUUGUCCAGACACAUGUUCUGCUUGAUAGUGAACUGCAGACAGCUCAUAUUAAGAGCAUAUAAAAGGAGUGGAAGGCUCCUACUGGUCCAGGGCACAUUGGCAUGUUAUUUACGAGGAAAUGGUUGCAAGAUGACAACAACUUAACGUGAGAAAACUGUCAACAAAGUAACUCUUUUUAUGUUGAGUCUAUCUACAGUUGAUAGAAUCGGAACACGAGAAGCAGACAAACUUAUCCAAACAUCAUGUCGCCACCGCACAAGCCAGAUAACCACCUUGCAUUGUAGCUAUCUGAAAUUUUCUCUGUUCGUUGGUUCAUCCAUCUAUUUUAUAAUCCCACUGCUGGAAAAGGUUGGGUUGCGGAGAUGUUGGAAGUGGCUACUUGGCUGAACUGAGUCGAACCAAAUGUUACUUUGCUAUGGAAGUCACAGAUAAAGUAUCUUUAGCCAGCCGCCACGAGGCUUCUUUGUGCUCAGACCAAAAUACAAAUUUUACAAUCCCUUGAUCAUCUUUUUCUUCCAUCACUCUACAAACACUUCGAGACUGAUAAG